AUGCUAACAUUCUCAGUGAGUCGUCAUGAUGGCAUCAACAUCCCCGAUGGCAAGUUCCACCUUGGAGAUGCUGGCUAUGCAUGUCGCACAGGUGUUCUUCCAUCCUUCAGGAAAACCAGGCACCAUCUGAACGAGUUUGCUGGUAGGAACUAUCCUAGGACUCCUCAGGGACUGUUCAAUAUCAGACACUCCAACCUUAGAGUGAUUGUUGAGUGGGCCUUUGGAGCUCUGAAGAACAGGUUUAAGAGCCUGAAUCAUAAGCCAUUCCACUACCCUACCCAGGUGAAGCUUGUUCUUGCAUGUUGCGUCAUUCACAACUGGAUCCUGCAAUGGGGAGUUGAUGAAUUUGUGUCGGAGGAGGAAGAUGUGACUCUUGAUGAGGUGAUCAGCUCCGGCCAUGGUGUGGAGGCAUUCGACAACGAAGCAUGGAAGAACAAAAGGUUGGAGUGGGCUCAGGCAAUGUGGGAUAACAGAGGUCAAACAAGGAUUUGA
Molecule: ribosomal RNA, 492 nt
Filed under: Triticum aestivum (bread wheat)
Lineage: Eukaryota; Viridiplantae; Streptophyta; Magnoliopsida; Poales; Poaceae
Description: partial small subunit ribosomal RNA
Source: RNAcentral